GUAGGUGGGUUUGUAAGUCAGUUGUGAAAGCCUUCCGCUUAACGGAAGAACGGCAUCUGAUACUACAGGGCUUGAGUACGGGAGGGGAGAGUGGAACUUCUGGUGGAGCGGUGAAAUGCGUAGAUAUCAGAAGGAACGCCGGCGGCGAAAGCGACUCUCUGGUCCGAAACUGACGCUGAGUGUGCGAAAGCUAGGGGAGCAAACGGGAUUAGAUACCCCGGUAGUCCUAGCCGUAAACGAUGGGCACUAAGUAGAGGGGU
This 260-nucleotide ribosomal RNA is filed under the name uncultured Planctomycetota bacterium. Its description in RNAcentral is "uncultured planctomycete partial 16S ribosomal RNA". It matches the Rfam family "Bacterial small subunit ribosomal RNA", at positions 571 to 829 of the family's 1533-position model. The record is from RNAcentral. Lineage: Bacteria; Pseudomonadati; Planctomycetota.